Molecule: long non-coding RNA, 1399 nt
Filed under: Ananas comosus (pineapple)
Lineage: Eukaryota; Viridiplantae; Streptophyta; Magnoliopsida; Poales; Bromeliaceae
Description: long non-coding RNA (ACOM_LNC037823)
Source: RNAcentral
CACCAUGUCCAUCUUCAUCUCGAGCCCCAACAUUGGCUCACUGUGACUGCUCGCUAGCACGAUCCAACUGUCUAUUCCACAAUAGACAAUAUAUUCUCUUCAUCCCUACAUGCUAGGGUCAAAUCCAAGUUUCUAUCUCAUUCUUGCAUGUACCGCUCGGAGUUCGUAUCGUUUCCAAGUAUACAAUCUUCUUACUGAAGGCAGUUUACUACAACUUCACUUUUCCAAUACUACACGCGGCCUUGCCGUGUGAAAGUCACCACAAUCAUUCCUCUCGAAGUAAAAGGUCAACCAACAGACCUUUCCGAAUUCUAGGAUAACGACUACAACUCCCUUCCGGGUGUCACUUAACACUCGAUUAACCACUUGAGCUCAAUAUCAGUCGCUUAUCCUUCAUUCUUCACUAAUCAAUUCGCGCAUCUUCCGCACAAAUAUCACUUAACUUCGACCAUAAGAUUCAAUUUGAUACUUCCUCAGAAGUUCAUAGCUUAGGACUGCGUAUAACUUUGACACAUUUUCUGUCGAAGUUUCCUUAUUUCAUAAUCGGCCUUGUUUCCAAUAUCUUACACUGUGUACUAAUCAUAGCUUAGCAUAUAGAAAAUCUUUCUACCUACUUUCCUCUGAACAGGCAUCCUGCUAUAGCCCCCAUGAUUUAUCUUGAAGUCCACUUGUCGUUAAUUCCAACAACAACUCUAUAUCCUGUCCCCGAUUUCUCGUUCUCUUUCACACGAUUCGCGUUCAUCACGCGUAAUCACAUUUCCACGCUCCACCUAAAGAGCUCGAUCCAGGACUUCUUCAAAUGACUUUAGCUUUAAAGCAUUGAUCAUUUUGAAUAUCUCAGGCCAUAAUCCCCGCUCGAAGUAUUCUGCUCGAUCUGCGGGUAUUCCUUUAUCCAAAAUAGAUGGAUUAAAUUUCCCGAAGGUCACAAGGGUUAUCCAACUACUUCACAGUCUUCUAGAGUCCAUUGACUCAAUCCACCAAAUUUGUGCAUCCUUUUCGAAACAGUGUGCUGCCAAAUGAAUCUUAUCCUUUUCCAGGGUACAGAUGUCCUCAAAUAAGGCUUCCAUCGAUGUGAGCCAUGUCUCCAAUAUCCAAAGAUCUACCUCUUUUCCAUCCAAUAUAGGCGGAUUAAACCGCAUAAACGCCGUCAGUCCUACUAACGAUUGCUUGUGCUCAGCCCUUGUUGCAGUCGAAUCAAAAUCAGACGGCCCAGAAACCACUGGAGGGAUAAUCACUGAAGGAGGGGGCACAAUCGCUGGCGGAUCAGGUAUAGGUGCAUCCUGACUCCCAGAUGCUGGUGUUGUCGCCUGUUGCGACACUAGAUCCUGUAACCUCCUUAUGUUCUCUUCCCACCUCUGCAUAGCUCCAACCAACGCGCUCACCGGAGCACGUAGCUCCU